GGCUGGCCCAAAGGUAGUGAGUUAUCUCAAUUGAUUGUUCAUAGUCAGUCACAGAUUGAACUUCUUGUUCUAUUCCUUCCCUCUUUUUCACUACUGAACUUAACUGGUCUAAA
This 113-nucleotide Y RNA is filed under the name Aotus nancymaae (Ma's night monkey). Its description in RNAcentral is "Y RNA (ENSANAG00000001220.1)". It matches the Rfam family "Y RNA". Rfam says of the family: Y RNAs are components of the Ro ribonucleoprotein particle (Ro RNP), in association with Ro60 and La proteins. The Y RNAs and Ro60 and La proteins are well conserved, but the function of the Ro RNP is not known. Lineage: Eukaryota; Metazoa; Chordata; Mammalia; Primates; Aotidae. The record is from Rfam by way of RNAcentral.